RNAcentral lists this ribosomal RNA (254 nucleotides) under uncultured bacterium. RNAcentral describes it as "partial 16S ribosomal RNA". It matches the Rfam family "Bacterial small subunit ribosomal RNA", at positions 524 to 775 of the family's 1533-position model. The record is from RNAcentral.
GACAGAGGGUGCAAACGUUGCUCGGAAUUACUGGGCGUAAAGGGCGUGUAGGCGGGAAGGCAAGUCGGGCGUGAAAGCCCCAGGCUCAACCUGGGAACUGCACUCGAAACUGCCUUUCUUGAGUGCCGGAGAGGAAAGCGGAAUUCCUGGUGGUAGAGGUGAAAUUCGUAGAUAUCAGGAGGAACACCAGGUGGCGAAGGCGGCUUUCUGGACGGUAACUGACGCUGAGACGCGAAAGCGUGGGGAGCAAACGG